GUAGGAGGCAAACGUUAUCCGGAUUUACUGGGCGUAAAGCGCGUGUAGGUGGUUCUGUAAGUAGGGCGUGAAAGCUCCUGGCUCAACUGGGAGAGGCCGUUCUAAACUGCAGAGCUAGAGGAUGGUAGAGGGAGGUGGAAUUCCGGGUGUAGCGGUGGAAUGCGCAGAUAUCCGGAGGAACACCAGUGGCGAAAGCGGCCUCCUGGACCAUUCCUGACACUCAGACGCGAAAGCUAGGGUAGCAAACGGGAUUAGAGACCCCGGUAGUCCUAGCCCUAAACGAUGUAGACUUGGCGUCGGUGGCUUAAUCGUCAUCGGUGUCGUAGCUAACGCGAUAAGUCUACCGCCUGGGGACUACGGCCGCAAGGUUAAAACUCAAAGGAAUUGACGGGUCCCCGCACAAGCAGCGGAGCGUGUGGUUUAAUUCGUUGCUACACGAAGAACCUUACCUGGGUUUGACAUAGCAGUGGUAGGAAUACGAAAGUGGACCGACCCUUCGGGGAGCUGUUACAGGUGUUGCAUGGCUGUCGUCAGCUCGUGUCGUGAGAUGUUCGGUUAAGUCCGCUAACGAGCGCAACCCUUGCCGUGUGUUACAAGUGUCACACGGGACCGCCGGUAUUAAGUCGGAGGAAGGUGAGGAUGACGUCAAGUCAGCAUGACCUUCAUAUCCAGGGCUACACACACGCUACAAUGGUCAGUACAAUAGGUUGCCAAGCCGCGAGGCGGAGCCAAUCCUAAAAAGCUGGCCUCAGUUCAGAUUGCAGGCUGCAACUCGCCUGCAUGAAGUUGGAGUUGCUAGUAACCGCAGGUCAGCUAUACUGCGGUGAAUACGUUCCCGGGGAUU
RNAcentral lists this ribosomal RNA (844 nucleotides) under uncultured Chloroflexota bacterium. RNAcentral's name for it is "bacterial SSU rRNA". It matches the Rfam family "Bacterial small subunit ribosomal RNA", at positions 527 to 1382 of the family's 1533-position model. Lineage: Bacteria; Bacillati; Chloroflexota. The record is from RNAcentral.